AGAGUUUGAUCAUGGCUCAGAUUGAACGCUGGCGGCAGGCCUAACACAUGCAAGUCGAACGGUAACAGGAAGCAGCUUGCUGCUUUGCUGACGAGUGGCGGACGGGUGAGUAAUGUCUGGGAAACUGCCUGAUGGAGGGGGAUAACUACUGGAAACGGUGGCUAAUACCGCAUAACGUCGCAAGACCAAAGAGGGGGACCUUCGGGCCUCUUGCCAUCAGAUGUGCCCAGAUGGGAUUAGCUUGUUGGUGGGGUAACGGCUCACCAAGGCGACGAUCCCUAGCUGGUCUGAGAGGAUGACCAGCCACACUGGAACUGAGACACGGUCCAGACUCCUACGGGAGGCAGCAGUGGGGAAUAUUGCACAAUGGGCGCAAGCCUGAUGCAGCCAUGCCGCGUGUAUGAAGAAGGCCUUCGGGUUGUAAAGUACUUUCAGCGGGGAGGAAGGUGUUGUGGUUAAUAACCGCAGCAAUUGACGUUACCCGCAGAAGAAGCACCGGCUAACUCCGUGCCAGCAGCCGCGGUAAUACGGAGGGUGCAAGCGUUAAUCGGAAUUACUGGGCGUAAAGCGCACGCAGGCGGUCUGUCAAGUCGGAUGUGAAAUCCCCGGGCUCAACCUGGGAACUGCAUUCGAAACUGGCAGGCUUGAGUCUUGUAGAGGGGGGUAGAAUUCCAGGUGUAGCGGUGAAAUGCGUAGAGAUCUGGAGGAAUACCGGUGGCGAAGGCGGCCCCCUGGACAAAGACUGACGCUCAGGUGCGAAAGCGUGGGGAGCAAACAGGAUUAGAUACCCUGGUAGUCCACGCCGUAAACGAUGUCUACUUGGAGGCUGUGCCCUUGAGGCGUGGCUUCCGGAGCUAACGCGUUAAGUAGACCGCCUGGGGAGUACGGCCGCAAGGUUAAAACUCAAAUGAAUUGACGGGGGCCCGCACAAGCGGUGGAGCAUGUGGUUUAAUUCGAUGCAACGCGAAGAACCUUACCUGGUCUUGACAUCCACGGAAGGUCUCAGAGAUGAGACUGUGCCUUCGGGAACCGUGAGACAGGUGCUGCAUGGCUGUCGUCAGCUCGUGUUGUGAAAUGUUGGGUUAAGUCCCGCAACGAGCGCAACCCUUAUCCUUUGUUGCCAGCGGUUAGGCCGGGAACUCAAAGGAGACUGCCAGUGAUAAACUGGAGGAAGGUGGGGAUGACGUCAAGUCAUCAUGGCCCUUACGACCAGGGCUACACACGUGCUACAAUGGCGCAUACAAAGAGAAGCGACCUCGCGAGAGCAAGCGGACCUCAUAAAGUGCGUCGUAGUCCGGAUUGGAGUCUGCAACUCGACUCCAUGAAGUCGGAAUCGCUAGUAAUCGUGGAUCAGAAUGCCACGGUGAAUACGUUCCCGGGCCUUGUACACACCGCCCGUCACACCAUGGGAGUGGGUUGCAAAAGAAGUAGGUAGCUUAACCUUCGGGAGGGCGCUUACCACUUUGUGAUUCAUGACUGGGGUGAAGUCGUAACAAGGUAACCGUAGGGGAACCUGCGGUUG
RNAcentral lists this ribosomal RNA (1522 nucleotides) under Salmonella enterica subsp. enterica serovar Typhimurium var. 5-. RNAcentral's name for it is "bacterial SSU rRNA". It matches the Rfam family "Bacterial small subunit ribosomal RNA". Lineage: Bacteria; Pseudomonadati; Pseudomonadota; Gammaproteobacteria; Enterobacterales; Enterobacteriaceae. The record is from RNAcentral.